UGCCAGCCGCCGCGGUAAUACGGAGGGUGCAAACGUUGCUCGGAAUCAUUGGGCGUAAAGCGCGCGUAGGCGGCUUGGCAAGUUGGGUGUGAAAGCCCUGGGCUCAACCCAGGAGGUGCACUCAAAACUGCCUCGCUUGAAUCUCGGAGGGGGUCAGGGAAUUCUCGGUGUAGAGGUGAAAUUCGUAGAUAUCGGGAGGAACACCAGUGGCGAAGGCGCUGACCUGGACGAUGAUUGACGCUGAGGCGCGAAAGCAUGGGGAGCGAACAGGAUUAGAUA
RNAcentral lists this ribosomal RNA (279 nucleotides) under uncultured bacterium. RNAcentral describes it as "partial 16S ribosomal RNA". It matches the Rfam family "Bacterial small subunit ribosomal RNA", at positions 506 to 784 of the family's 1533-position model. The record is from RNAcentral.